GUCCCCUUCGUCUAGAGGCCUAGGACAUCGCCCUUUCACGGCGACGACAGGGGUUCGACUCCCCUAGGGGACG
This 73-nucleotide transfer RNA is filed under the name Solemya velesiana gill symbiont. It matches the Rfam family "tRNA". Rfam says of the family: Transfer RNA (tRNA) molecules are approximately 80 nucleotides in length. Their secondary structure includes four short double-helical elements and three loops (D, anti-codon, and T loops). The record is from Rfam by way of RNAcentral. Lineage: Bacteria; Pseudomonadati; Pseudomonadota; Gammaproteobacteria.